This 861-nucleotide ribosomal RNA is filed under the name Triticum aestivum (bread wheat). RNAcentral's name for it is "partial small subunit ribosomal RNA". The record is from RNAcentral. Lineage: Eukaryota; Viridiplantae; Streptophyta; Magnoliopsida; Poales; Poaceae.
AUGGGGUCACCGGCGGCUGCUCGUCAUCUCGUGAGGGCGCCGGCUACAUCCAAAUCUCUGGUUCGGCCAUGGAUCGGGCCUCUUCCUCCCCCCAGAAUCUCUCCCACCCGAACCCUGGGCGAUGCCUUGCCUUUGGCCGGUCUGGCGAGGGCGACGGCGUUCAUGCAGCCCGCGACGUCGACCACGCCGUCGUCUGGUGUUUCGCCGGCAGAGUCGGCGCGAUUGAUGGGCCUGGGCCCACUCCCAGCCUCAGGGACAAGCUUCGAUCCAACCCUAGUCUACCUCGUUCUUUCCUGGCCGCCGUUUGCUCGGGGAUGGCCCGUGAUGCGUCCGCACCGCCAGGCUUCGGGUUGCCUCGACCUGCAGCCGCCGCGCCCAACCCCGCUGACGGUUCCUCGUCGGGCGGCGCCCCUGGCUUCGCGCCGGGGGUGUUCCCUCCCGUCAUGCCUUCUUCCUCUUCUACAGGUCCCAUGCCGAUUCCCCAACAGCCUACAGCGCCGGGGCAGCAGCUACAUCACAUGUACCAGAUGCCGCAGCAGUUUUUUCAGCAGCAGCCGAUGUAUCAUGCGUCGCCGGGGUAUAUGCAGCAGAUGGCACCGGUGUACCAAUAUCAACCAGCCGGACCUCCAUUGCAACAGAACCAAGGCCCCAAUGCUGUCCAUCCUAUGGCUUUUAACGCCGUCCUGGCAAACUCGGCGACCGGAGUCCAGACAGGAACUAUCCGUCCUAGGAAACCGAAGGGUGGAAAAGGUAACCGGCCUAAGAACCGUGCCGGAAACGCCCCGUUUAUCGCUCCUCCUCCCACUCUUCCUUAUCAUGUUGUGCAAGGCGCUACGGCCUCGGUCCCGGGGACUAAUGUGA